This 339-nucleotide ribosomal RNA is filed under the name Pteronura brasiliensis (giant otter). RNAcentral's name for it is "partial 12S ribosomal RNA". It matches the Rfam family "Bacterial small subunit ribosomal RNA", at positions 533 to 989 of the family's 1533-position model. The record is from RNAcentral. Lineage: Eukaryota; Metazoa; Chordata; Mammalia; Carnivora; Mustelidae.
AACUCGAAUUAAUAGGCUCACGGCGUAAAACGUGUUAAGGAUUAUAAGCAUACUAAAGUUAAAAUUUAACCAGGCUGUAAAAAGCUACUGUUAACAUAAAAUAUACCACGAAAGUGACUUUACCAUUUCCGACAACACGAUAGCUGAGAUCCAAACUGGGAUUAGAUACCCCACUAUGCUCAGCCCUAAACGUAAAUAAUUUACACAACAAAAUUAUCUGCCAGAGGACUACUAGCAACAGCUUAAAACUCAAAGGACUUGGCGGUGCUUUAUAUCCCUCUAGAGGAGCCUGUUCUAUAAUCGAUAAACCCCGAUAAACCUCACCACUUCUAGCUAAAU